CAAGACGUAGCUAUAACCCAAAGCAUUCAGCUUACACCUGAAAGAUAUCUACACCAUAGAUCGUCUUGA
Molecule: transfer RNA, 69 nt
Filed under: Podica senegalensis (African finfoot)
Lineage: Eukaryota; Metazoa; Chordata; Aves; Gruiformes; Heliornithidae
Description: tRNA-Val
Source: RNAcentral